AGUUGACAGAAGAAUUCCCAGUGAUUUAUGUGGAGAGGUAUUUCACCCUUCAUUUCCCAGAAAGAUGUCUGCUUUCUAUGAUAAGUACAGGAACAUACGCACAUGACCCUGCUGAGAAAAGAGUUCAUUUGCUGGUUUAUAAGACUGUCAAGCUUCCAGAAAAUGAGGAUACCCAUAACAUAUGGGAGCUUGUGGCAUGGCUUAAAGGAACCUGUCUGUCUUCAUUCCUGUCAAGAAGAAGAGUUAGUAUUAUUAGCCUGAAAGUAAAUGUUACCUAAAGAGGGACUGAGCACCACGGAUAUCCUGGGGAAGGCAUUUGGAUACUGCAUGGUUGUGGACUUGUGUAUAAGGUACGAACUUCAGACCUACAUGUAAACUCUCCAGAGGCUUAAAUCUAAAACAUACAUAUGUUCAAAAGAAGGAGGGUAGGACUGAGCAUACAAUUUGCAUGUUAGAGUGGAAGACAGGUUGCUUAAGGAUGAGCUUAGUUCUUGUUGGGAGAGAGGAGAAAGGGUUGAAUUUUGGAGCUGGAGGACUUCAGCAGGGCUGGGAAGAAUGACUUAAACUGGAAAAAGAGGGGACCAGCAAGGAGCAACAGUGGACUGGUGAAAGCCUCCAAAAAGCAGCUGUAGGCCCUUUUAAAGUAAUAGAUUGGGAACAGCCAGGCUGAGUAUGUUAACAGGAUAAUGUGGGUGGAAGACUCACAGAGUCGAAAGUGAGAAAGUAAGAGAAAGCAAGCAACCAAUGAAGAGGAAAAACAAGGAACACAGAGAAAUCUGUGAUGUAAAACUACCUGAACACCUCUGGUGAGAAGUAACAAAGCUCCUGUUCAUCACCUCUUCCACUGAGUGUGUAAAUAGGCUGAACAACUGCUUAGGCUGCCUUUUCAGUGGUAUUUAAGUCUUAUCUUCCGUCACUAAUUGGCUUUGUUCAAUAGAGGUAAACAGGAUCAAGGGGCAACACAGUUAAUGCUGACAGAAAUGUUUUGUAUAGCAUAAAGGAACAGCUGCUUCAGUCACAGAAAAAAAUUAUCAAGAUGGGGUCACUAUAGGUCAUUUAAUCCAUUUUACAGGACAAAGUGGUGAAUGUCUGCAAGGUCCUAAUCCAGCUGCUUUGUAAUGCUUUGAGAACUUUGUCUUUUUUCCAUGCUUCAAAGGAAAGGUAAUGGUACAAUAUCCUUUGCAUGCUACACAACCUCAGUGCUUAGGGGCCACAUGAAGGUGUGGGCAAAGGUGCUUUACAGCAUCUGUAUGUUCACCUGACUUCAGAGCUGGAGCUGCUCAGUCCUCACAGCAGGUCUGCCACUCUAGUUCAUGCUCGGCAUUUUUAUAUACCCCAAAAUGAAUGUUACAAACGUGAAAGUACAUUCAGGUGCCCCUGAUGAUAGUCUCAGCUUUACACUGAU
Molecule: long non-coding RNA, 1405 nt
Filed under: Aquila chrysaetos chrysaetos
Lineage: Eukaryota; Metazoa; Chordata; Aves; Accipitriformes; Accipitridae
Description: lncRNA (ENSACCG00020001404.1)
Source: RNAcentral